AGAGUUUGAUCCUGGCUCAGGACGAACGCUGGCGGCGUGCCUAAUACAUGCAAGUAGAACGCUGAAGAGAGGAGCUUGCUCUUCUUGGAUGAGUUGCGAACGGGUGAGUAACGCGUAGGUAACCUGCCUUGUAGCGGGGGAUAACUAUUGGAAACGAUAGCUAAUACCGCAUAACAAUGGAUGACACAUGUCAUUUAUUUGAAAGGGGCAAUUGCUCCACUACAAGAUGGACCUGCGUUGUAUUAGCUAGUAGGUGAGGUAAUGGCUCACCUAGGCGACGAUACAUAGCCGACCUGAGAGGGUGAUCGGCCACACUGGGACUGAGACACGGCCCAGACUCCUACGGGAGGCAGCAGUAGGGAAUCUUCGGCAAUGGGGGCAACCCUGACCGAGCAACGCCGCGUGAGUGAAGAAGGUUUUCGGAUCGUAAAGCUCUGUUGUAAGUCAAGAACGGGUGUGAGAGUGGAAAGUUCACACUGUGACGGUAGCUUACCAGAAAGGGACGGCUAACUACGUGCCAGCAGCCGCGGUAAUACGUAGGUCCCGAGCGUUGUCCGGAUUUAUUGGGCGUAAAGCGAGCGCAGGCGGUUUGAUAAGUCUGAAGUUAAAGGCUGUGGCUCAACCAUAGUUCGCUUUGGAAACUGUCAAACUUGAGUGCAGAAGGGGAGAGUGGAAUUCCAUGUGUAGCGGUGAAAUGCGUAGAUAUAUGGAGGAACACCGGUGGCGAAAGCGGCUCUCUGGUCUGUAACUGACGCUGAGGCUCGAAAGCGUGGGGAGCGAACAGGAUUAGAUACCCUGGUAGUCCACGCCGUAAACGAU
RNAcentral lists this ribosomal RNA (819 nucleotides) under uncultured bacterium. RNAcentral's name for it is "bacterial SSU rRNA". It matches the Rfam family "Bacterial small subunit ribosomal RNA", at positions 8 to 810 of the family's 1533-position model. The record is from RNAcentral.